CAGCCGCCACGGGAAUACGAAGGGGGCUAGCGUUGCUCGGAAUUACUGGGCGUAAAGGGAGCGUAGGCGGAUCGUUUAGUUGGGGGUGAAAUCCCGGGGCUCAACCUCGGAACUGCCUUCAAUACUGGCGAUCUUGAGUAUGGGAGAGGUGUGUGGAACUCCGAGUGUAGAGGUGAAAUUCGUAGAUAUUCGGAAGAACACCAGUGGCGAAGGCGACACACUGGCCCAUUACUGACGCUGAGGCUCGAAAGUGUGGGGAGCAAACAGGAUUAGAUACCCCAGUAGUCCCUGUCUCUUAUAC
This 301-nucleotide ribosomal RNA is filed under the name uncultured bacterium. Its description in RNAcentral is "partial 16S ribosomal RNA". It matches the Rfam family "Bacterial small subunit ribosomal RNA", at positions 509 to 807 of the family's 1533-position model. The record is from RNAcentral.